GACGAACGCUGGCGGCGUGGAUUAGGCAUGCAAGUCGAACGGUAUCAUCCUUUCGGGGGUGAGAGAGUGGCGAACUGGUGAGUAACACGUAGGUUAUCUACCCUCAAGACGGGGACAACCCAGGGAAACUUGGGCUAAUACCGGAUGUGAGCAACUUUUAGUUGUUUGAAAGGUGGCGUAAGCUGUCGCUUGGGGAUGAGCCUGCGUCCUAUUAGUUAGUUGGUGAGGUAACGGCUCACCUAGGCAAUGAUAGGUAGGCGGCCUUAACGGGUGGUCGCCCACACUGGGAUUGAGAUACGGCCCAGACUCCUACGGGAGGCAGCAGUCGAGAAUAGUCUACAAUGGUCGGAAGACUGAUAGUGCGACGCCGCGUGAACGAUGAAUCCCUUCGGGGUGUAAAGUUCUUUUAUAUGUGAGCAGUGCUUCUUAUAUUAACAGUAUGGGGAAGAGAUAUUAGCAUAUGAAUAAAGCAAACGGCUAAACUCCGUGCCAGCAGCCGCGGUAAUCUCG
Molecule: ribosomal RNA, 510 nt
Filed under: uncultured bacterium
Lineage: Bacteria
Description: bacterial SSU rRNA
Rfam family: Bacterial small subunit ribosomal RNA
Source: RNAcentral